AUAACAGAGAUAGGAUGGUGAGAUGAAAUCAGAGUAGUGUGUUUCCUUUAAUGUUUUCUGUCUUCUUCUUCUUUUGUUUGUUUGUUUGUUUUUGAAACAGAGUCUCACUCUGUUGCCCAGGCUGGAGUGCAGUAGUGUGGUCUUGGCUCACUGCAACCUCUACCUCCUGGGUUCAAGUGAUUCUCCUGCCUCUGCCUCCUGAGUAGCUGGGAUUACAGGCGUGCACCACCACAUCUGGCUAAUUUUUGUACUUUUAGUAGAGACGGGGUUUCACCAUAUAGUGCAGGCUGGUCUCGAACUCCUGACCUCUGAAUAUUCAGCUGCCUCAGCCUCCCAAAGUGCUGGGAUUAUAAGUGUGAGUGGCCACACCUGGCCUGUUUCUUUUAAGUUAGCACUUCACAUGCUCUCAUAGCAUUAAUUGCCAUUAUUGGUUUGCCUGAUUUUCCUGCAUCUCCUCAUAUGUAAGUCUGCAACCCAAGGAAAGAAUAGUAGCUUGUAUGUGUCAACGAAGGGUGUCCAAGCUUCUUGAUUCUUGUUAAUACCGACUUCCCAACAUUGAAAAAGGAGCGAAGAAGGGAAUAUCAUUUUAGGGUACUGCUUUAAAGGAAUGAUAAAGUAAACAAUGUGGUAGGGAAAAUACCACUUGCACAAAUGUAUUUCUUUGUCAAAGUGUGUACAUGCUUUCUGUAUGUCCUAUGUCCUGAUGUGAAGCAGGGACCACAAUGCCAUUUAUUCAUUGUUCCAGGCAGUGCAUUUGUUCAAACCCCUCUGGCUCUCUGAUAUCUCUCAUCUCUUCAUGUUCCUAUUCUCUGACCUCAACGGGGAGGACACUGUCUGUUGUGUCUCUUUGAGACCAGAACUGCAUGUGUUUAACCUUCAGAUCCAUUCUCUACAUGAACCCUAUCUUUCCACCCUGCUAAGAAGGUCUGGAAGACAGGUCCUAGCGAGGGGUCAGAGAAGGCACAGAGAAAUGAACCAGCCAUGCAGGGGCAGCACUGAGGAGGAAACCCCCCACUCUAACUGGGAGGAGAGUGGAAACACUCUUCGUGUCUCAGAGUAGUUACCAAUCUAAGAGCAUCCCUCGAGUUUAAGUCAAAACUCCAGGCUUAAUACUAAAAAUAAUACAUCAUUUGGGAAAAUAGCUUGGAGAAAAAAAUCAAUAGUCACAUAAAAUCUUAAGAAAAUGGUUCUAUUCUGUGAAAUAUUACUGAGAAAUAAAGUUCUUAAACGUGUAUAACUAUUGUCAGACAAUUUAUAGGUGUUUUAUCUAGUCCUGGGACAAAAUAACAUGACUCACGCAAUGCAGGGAGCACAUUAGCUGACUUUAAAUUGGAACAUUGUAAAGAGAAAGCUGUGAAAGGUUGUGUGUCCUGUCAAUGAGAUUUAUUUUCUAACCAAGAGCUAUUUGGAUGAUUCAGUAUAAAUCUGAAAAUCACAUCCAAAAAGGGUAUAACCCAGCUUCCUUAAGGCAAUUUUCUUCUCUGAGAUAAGAGUAUACUCAUAUGUUCUUUACUAUAAUGUAUAUUAUUUUAUCUUGUACUUUAAAAGAUGAUAAUUAUGCAUUGUAUAUACAAUUGUGUGCCUUGCAAUAAAAUCAAAAUUGUAC
Long non-coding RNA from Macaca fascicularis (crab-eating macaque), 1606 nucleotides. Lineage: Eukaryota; Metazoa; Chordata; Mammalia; Primates; Cercopithecidae. The record is from Ensembl.